Molecule: ribosomal RNA, 480 nt
Filed under: uncultured bacterium
Lineage: Bacteria
Description: bacterial SSU rRNA
Rfam family: Bacterial small subunit ribosomal RNA
Source: RNAcentral
AGGACGAACGCUGGCGGCGUGCCUAACACAUGCAAGUCGAACGGAGUUAAUGAUUUCGGUUGUUAACUUAGUGGCGAACGGGUGAGUAACGCGUGAACAACCUGACCCAAAGAGGGGGAUAACAUUUGGAAACAGAUGCUAAUACCGCAUAAGACCACAACGUCACAUGGCGAAGGGGUCAAAGGAGCAAUCCGCUUUGGGAGGGGUUCGCGUCCCACUAGGUAGUAGGCGGGGUAACAGCCCACCUAGCCAACGAUGGGUAGCCGAGCUGAGAGGCUGAUCGGCCACACUGGAACUGAGACACGGUCCAGACUCCUACGGGAGGCAGCAGUGGGGAAUAUUGGGCAAUGGGCGCAAGCCUGACCCAGCAACGCCGCGUGAGGGAAGAAGGUUUUCGGAUUGUAAACCUCUGUCGCAGAAGACGAAGGAAGUGACGGUAUUCUGUGAGGAAGCCCCGGCUAACUACGUGCCAGCCGCGGC